UGAAAAAUAUGGGAAAUAGAGGUUCUGAAGCUAAGGAUGAACAAUUUGCAAAAACAACUGAGUCUUGGGAAAUAGGAACAUUAAAAAAGAAUGAUUCCUACCUUGUGGAUCUCAAAGGAAAAGAAUAUUAAUAAAUUAAAAUUGUAAAUA
Cimex lectularius (bed bug) is the source of this 150-nucleotide long non-coding RNA. RefSeq lists it as uncharacterized. NCBI's taxonomy places the organism in Eukaryota, Metazoa, Arthropoda, Insecta, Hemiptera, Cimicidae. The record is from RefSeq and is a predicted model, not a curated record. The transcript has 2 exons.